RNAcentral lists this ribosomal RNA (292 nucleotides) under uncultured bacterium. RNAcentral's name for it is "partial 16S ribosomal RNA". It matches the Rfam family "Bacterial small subunit ribosomal RNA", at positions 505 to 796 of the family's 1533-position model. The record is from RNAcentral.
GUGUCAGCAGCCGCGGUAAUACGAAGGGGACUAGCGUUGUUCGGAUUUACUGGGCGUAAAGCGCGCGUAGGCGGAUAUUUAAGUCAGGGGUGAAAUCCCAGGGCUCAACCCUGGAACUGCCUUUGAUACUGGAUGUCUGGAGAUCGGGAGAGGUUGGUGGAAUUCCGAGUGUAGAGGUGAAAUUCGUAGAUAUUCGGAGGAACACCAGAAGCGAAGGCGGCCAACUGGCCCGAUACUGACGCUGAGGCGCGAAAGCGUGGGGAGCAAACAGGAUUAGAAACCCUAGUAGUCC